This 274-nucleotide ribosomal RNA is filed under the name uncultured bacterium. Its description in RNAcentral is "partial 16S ribosomal RNA". It matches the Rfam family "Bacterial small subunit ribosomal RNA", at positions 523 to 796 of the family's 1533-position model. The record is from RNAcentral.
AUACGGAGGGUGCAAGCGUUAAUCGGAAUUACUGGGCGUAAAGAGUACGUAGGUGGUUUAUUAAGUCAGAUGUGAAAGCCCCGGGCUCAACCUGGGAACUGCAUUUGAAACUAGUAAACUAGAGUAUGGUAGAGGGGGGUAGAAUUUCUAGUGUAGCGGUGAAAUGCGUAGAUAUUAGAAGGAAUACCAGUGGCGAAGGCGGCCCCCUGGACCAAUACUGACACUGAGGUACGAAAGCGUGGGUAGCGAACAGCAUUAGAUACCCGAGUAGUCC